RNAcentral lists this ribosomal RNA (700 nucleotides) under Citrifermentans bremense. RNAcentral's name for it is "bacterial SSU rRNA". It matches the Rfam family "Bacterial small subunit ribosomal RNA", at positions 83 to 760 of the family's 1533-position model. Lineage: Bacteria; Pseudomonadati; Thermodesulfobacteriota; Desulfuromonadia; Geobacterales; Geobacteraceae. The record is from RNAcentral.
GCUCUGGUGAGAGUGGCGCACGGGUGAGUAACGCGUGGAUAACCUGCCCUGGUAUCUGGAAUAACAUCUCGAAAGGGGUGCUAAUACCGGAUAAGCCUACGGAGCCUUCGGUCUCUGCAGGAAAAGGUGGCCUCUAUUUAUAAGCUACCGUAUCAGGAUGGGUCCGCGUACCAUUAGCUAGUUGGUAGGGUAAUGGCCUACCAAGGCUACGAUGGUUAGCUGGUCUGAGAGGAUGAUCAGCCAAACUGGAACUGAGACACGGUCCAGACUAAUACGGGAGGCAGCAGUGGGGAAUUUUGCGCAAUGGGGGAAACCCUGACGCAGCAACGCCGCGUGAGUGAUGAAGGCUUUCGGGUCGUAAAGCUCUGUCAGAAGGGAAGAAAUGGGGCUGGCUAAUAUCCAGUUUCCUUGACGGUACCUUCAAAGGAAGCACCGGCUAACUCCGUGCCAGCAGCCGCGGUAAUACGGAGGGUGCAAGCGUUGUUCGGAUUUAUUGGGCGUAAAGCGCGUGUAGGCGGUUUCUUAAGUCUGAUGUGAAAGCCCUGGGCUCAACCCAGGAAGUGCAUUGGAUACUGGGAGACUUGAAUACGGGAGAGGGUAGUGGAAUUCCUAGUGUAGGAGUGAAAUCCGUAGAUAUUAGGAGGAACACCGGUGGCGAAGGCGGCUACCUGGACCGAUAUUGACGCUGAGACGCGAAAGC